CCUACGGGUGGCAGCAGUGAGGAAUAUUGGUCAAUGGGCGCAAGCCUGAACCAGCCAAGUAGCGUGCAGGAUGACUGCCCUACGGGUUGUAAACCUCUUUUGUAAAGGAAUAACGUCCUCCACGUGUGCAUUUUUGCCUGUACCUUGUGAAUAAGGAUCGGCUAACUCCGUGCCAGCAGCCGCGGUAAUACGGAGGUGCCGAGCGUUAUCCGGAUUUAUUGGGGUUAAAGGGAGCGUAGUGGGGCUGUUAAGUCCGGUGUGAAAGUUGGCGGCUCAACCGUACAAGUGCAGUUGAAACUGGCAGCCUUGAGUACAGAUGAGGUAGGCGGAAUUCGUGGUGUAGCGGUGAAAUGCAUAGAUAUCACGAGGAACCCCGAUUGCGAAGGCAGCCU
Molecule: ribosomal RNA, 392 nt
Filed under: uncultured bacterium
Lineage: Bacteria
Description: partial 16S ribosomal RNA
Rfam family: Bacterial small subunit ribosomal RNA
Source: RNAcentral